GGCAGUGACACGGGGUGCCGCCCGCGUAGUCGCGAUUGCGACGGGUGGCUGAGAACACACCCGUCGAACCUGAUCUAGUUCGAACUAGCGAAGGGAUGUCGCAAUGCGCGAUC
RNAcentral lists this non-coding RNA (113 nucleotides) under Microbacterium terrae. RNAcentral's name for it is "Microbacterium ketosireducens TPP sequence". It matches the Rfam family "TPP riboswitch aptamer (THI element)". From Rfam's summary of the family: Vitamin B(1) in its active form thiamin pyrophosphate (TPP) is an essential coenzyme that is synthesised by coupling of pyrimidine and thiazole moieties in bacteria. The record is from RNAcentral. Lineage: Bacteria; Bacillati; Actinomycetota; Actinomycetes; Micrococcales; Microbacteriaceae.